UAUCUUUCCGUACGGGGAAGGAUGAGAAGCUUCGACUAAGGUUCGAUUCGAGCGCAGCGAGAAAGCGUUGCCGCAGGCAACGACCCGAAGGGUGAGGAGCGGAGCGACGAAUAAUCCUUCCCCCACCACCA
Molecule: small RNA, 131 nt
Filed under: Salmonella enterica
Lineage: Bacteria; Pseudomonadati; Pseudomonadota; Gammaproteobacteria; Enterobacterales; Enterobacteriaceae
Description: RtT sRNA
Rfam family: RtT RNA
About the family: This family represents a bacterial cis-regulatory element known as RtT RNA.
Source: RNAcentral